RNAcentral lists this ribosomal RNA (640 nucleotides) under uncultured fungus. Its description in RNAcentral is "eukaryotic LSU rRNA". It matches the Rfam family "Eukaryotic large subunit ribosomal RNA", at positions 24 to 664 of the family's 3401-position model. Lineage: Eukaryota; Fungi. The record is from RNAcentral.
CCCGCUGAACUUAAGCAUAUCAAUAAGCGGAGGAAAAGAAACUAACAAGGAUUCCCCUAGUAACUGCGAGUGAAGCGGGAAAAGCUCAAAUUUAAAAUCUGGCAGCCAUUUUACGGUUGUCCGAGUUGUAAUCUAGAGAAGUGCUUUCCGCGCUGGACCGUGUACAAGUCUCUUGGAAUAGAGCAUCAUAGAGGGUGAGAAUCCCGUCUUUGACACGGACUACCAGUGCUUUAUGUGAUGCGCUCUCAAAGAGUCGAGUUGUUUGGGAAUGCAGCUCAAAAUGGGUGGUAAAUUCCAUCUAAAGCUAAAUAUUGGCGAGAGACCGAUAGCGAACAAGUACCGUGAGGGAAAGAUGAAAAGAACUUUGGAAAGAGAGUUAAACAGUACGUGAAAUUGUUGAAAGGGAAACGCUUGAAGUCAGUCACGUUGGCCGAGACUCAACCUUGCUUCUGCUCGGUGCACUUCUCGGUUGACGGGUCAGCAUCAAUUUUGACCGCCGGAUAAAGGUCGGGGGAAUGUGGCAUCCUUCGGGAUGUGUUAUAGACCUCGAUUCGGAUACGGCGAUUGGGAUUGAGGAACUCGGCGCUUUGCGUCCAGGAUGCUGGCAUAAUGGCUUUAAGCGACCCGUCUUGAAACACGG